RNAcentral lists this ribosomal RNA (520 nucleotides) under uncultured bacterium. RNAcentral describes it as "bacterial SSU rRNA". It matches the Rfam family "Bacterial small subunit ribosomal RNA", at positions 120 to 674 of the family's 1533-position model. The record is from RNAcentral.
GGGAACAUACCCUUUUCUACGGAAUAGCUCUGGGAAACUGGAAUUAAUACCGUAUACGCCCUACGGGGGAAAGAUUUAUCGGGGAAGGAUUGGCCCGCGUUGGAUUAGCUAGUUGGUGGGGUAAAGGCCUACCAAGGCGACGAUCCAUAGCUGGUCUGAGAGGAUGAUCAGCCACAUUGGGACUGAGACACGGCCCAAACUCCUACGGGAGGCAGCAGUGGGGAAUAUUGGACAAUGGGCGCAAGCCUGAUCCAGCCAUGCCGCGUGAGUGAUGAAGGCCUUAGGGUUGUAAAGCUCUUUCACCGAUGAAGAUAAUGACGGUAGUCGGAGAAGAAGCCCCGGCUAACUUCGUGCCAGCAGCCGCGGUAAUACGAAGGGGGCUAGCGUUGUUCGGAAUUACCGGGCGUAAAGCGCACGUAGGCGGAUAUUUAAGUCAGGGGUGAAAUCCCAGAGCUCAACUCUGGAACUGCCUUUGAUACUGGGUAUCUUGAGUAUGGAAGAGGUAAGUGGAAUUGCGAGU